This 613-nucleotide unclassified non-coding RNA is filed under the name Hevea brasiliensis (rubber tree). Lineage: Eukaryota; Viridiplantae; Streptophyta; Magnoliopsida; Malpighiales; Euphorbiaceae. The record is from RNAcentral.
UUGAAUUGAGUUGAGUUGAGUUGAAUUGAUGAUCUCUGGUAAGUCAAGAUACUCACCACUACCAAGGAUAUGUUCAACUCAAGGUGCAUUGUUCAAAAUCCGUGUAAAGUUAACAGUCCACAAACAGCACAUUUGCAUUGAAAUUGUUGUUCUAGAAGUAAAGGGUGACCCGAUGCACAAACAUCCUACACUUGUCGGCUUUGGCGAGCGUUGAUGUGCGCAUUGCGCAGCCUUACCCUUGCUUUGCAAGAGAGAGGCUGUUUUUAUUGUUCUAGAAAUCUAAAAUUUAAAAUGUACUAAUUGUUAUGAAGCCAACUCUAUUAUUUUCUAGCUAAUGAAGAUAUGCUCUUUUACUUGCUAAAGAUACUCCCUAAUGAGAAGAUAACCAGAAAAAAUAGUUGUAGGGUACAAUCCUUUUUUUUUUUUUAUUAGUAGAAGGUCACUGUUAUUACAUUAUAAAGUCAGUUUGAAUGUAUGAGCCGUAGCCAUCAAAAUCAGAUUAAUUUCUUCGCAAUUCUCUGUUUUUGUCCUUUUUGUAUAUUAAGAACAAAACAAAGAGGCAUAUUUAUGUAUUAACAAGAAAACUUACUUGCAAUGAUACCAUCUGCAUUUG